This 77-nucleotide transfer RNA is filed under the name Candidatus Vogelbacteria bacterium. Its description in RNAcentral is "tRNA-Phe". It matches the Rfam family "tRNA". Rfam says of the family: Transfer RNA (tRNA) molecules are approximately 80 nucleotides in length. Their secondary structure includes four short double-helical elements and three loops (D, anti-codon, and T loops). Lineage: Bacteria; Candidatus Vogeliibacteriota. The record is from RNAcentral.
GCCCAGGUAGCUCAGUUGGCUAGAGCGUUUGCCUGAAGAGCAAAAAGUCGUCGGUUCGAGUCCGACCCUGGGCACCA